GUCAGAUUGGUGGGGCCUUGUUGCUAGUUCAGUAUUGGGCAUGGGUCAGAUUCCCUUUUUUGUGCCCAAGGAUGGACCUCCCACCAGAUGGUGCAUAUGGCCCACCAUUUGCACCUUCUCCAUUGUCUAUUAAGACUGUGUGGGUUGUGAACACCUUGAAUAGCCCCGCCGAAAUCUGUCUGGUCCGGUACCGUCAGCUUUUAGAUUGUAUGCAUCCAAAGCAGGUGGUGUGGCAACCAUAUGAAACUGAAUUAGCCCACCUGCCUGCGUUUUGUGUCGCCGGAAGGGAUGUAUGGACGGCGAGGGUACCGCUUGUAUGUUUCUGGCUAGUAGAGAAACAUACACCGGACCGUGUUGUUCGUCAGUUCGGGAUGGUACAAGAACCCCCCCCAUAUGUUGAUACUGACGAAGCCCUUCAUGCCAUAGACUUGAGGGGGAAGAUGGAGGUGAAUUGGAGGGACAGACAUUAUGGCCAUAUCCGAGUAUGGAAUACUCGAGCACGAUCUCUAUGUCCUGGAGCAUGACUAGAGGGUGAUAUGUCGCCUGCUCAUCCAUACUUCGAUUGGUACGAUAGGGUGACUUGGAGGUUCGUCGACCACACUUCGGCUUCACUUAUUAUUAUGGUUGCCAGUCACAAGAAGUUGUUGAGACUUUAUACAGUAGGCAGUCUUGAGUACAACCAUAUUUCAGCUGUACUUAAGACAGUGGAACGCCUUCACCGUAUAACUGCUCGACUUCCGUUGGAAAAUAUCGAUGGGGCAAAUCCAGAAGCGCCAGAAGAUACUGGACGACCAAGCACGAGCUCAACUCGUGCCAGCCAUAGCCAUGGUCAGCGUGCUGCAUCCCAUCAGGUUGUCAGUAGGGCAGAUCUCCCUCCACCCCCACGUGCGUCUCCUGCCCCAGAGUUCCCUCCACCUCCACAUGCAUCUCCUUCCCCAGAGAUCCCUCCACAUACUGCUCAUGUAGUUUCUAACCUAGAUAUCUCUCUACCCACUACUCAUGCAUCUUUUCACCCCGAGAUCCCUUCACACACCUCACAUACAUUUUUUGAUCCUGCUCAUCUUUCAUUUACUCCACCAUCCUUUGAUCUCGGCCCUGAUUUCAAUCAAACCCCUCCUGUCAUGCACACGCAAUCCCCAUCGUACAACAUUCGUCAUAUAGACCAUGUACCGCCCCAUAGUCACUCCAUGUCAUUCAUGCCCACUCCUAGACUACAUAUAGAUCCCAUGAGUACGGGCACUCACAUUUCAUUUGCUACACCAUCCUCCCCCGCAGUUGUUGGGAGUCAAGCAAAACAACCAGCUGUGCAUGUUGAGAAUGAGCAGGUUGUUGGGUUACAGUCACCCCCACAAGGUCGACCUAAACGUACAAUGAAAGCACCUCCUUGUGGGACAGGUGGUCACAAAGCAGGACACAACGCUGGCCCCACGCAACGUGAGGAGCCUCACGAAGGAGAUGUAGUACCCCCUCCCCCACAUACCAGACACUAUACGAGACAGCAUAAGCGUAAAAUGCAUUAGGAUUAGCAUCCCAUAGAGAAACAAAGGAGGACACUCGAGAAUUGGAGUUUCUGACCCUAAGUGAUGAUCAGCACUUAGCUUAGAAAACACCUCACUCUUUCUAGGUUGGACCUGAAAAUGCUUCACAGGUUAUUUUGUCCAGUCCCGUACUGAAUGAAGGGGAGCUUGAGUCCUUGCUAAAUGAUCCCUCUUUGAAACCUCAAGUUUUGCCAACAUUUUUUGAUAUUCGUAAAGGAGUUGAUGGUUCCUUGGAAAAGACACUAAAUAUAUAUAGUGAAGCUGCUGAUGAAGCUGUUCGAAAUGGUUCCCAACUGCUUGUUCUGUCAGACCGUUCUGAUGUGCUGUGCCAUAUGUCCAUACUUGGCACUAGAAACAUGCCGACAGUGGCGUCUGAGUAAUAAAACCGUAAAUUUGAUGAGGAAUGGAAAGAUGCCUACUGUAACAAUUGAGCAGGCUCAAAAGAACUUUUGCAAGGCUGUUAAAACCGGUCUUCUCAAAAUUCUUUCCAAAAUGGGAAUCUCAUUGCUUUCUAGUUAUUGUGGUGCACAGAUAUUUGAGAUUUAUGGAUUAGGGAAGGAGAUUGUUGAUCUUUCAUUUUGUGGAAGUGUCUCAAAAAUUGGUGGAUUAACUUUUGAUGAGAUAGUCAAUCAGCGUGAGGCAGCCAGUAGCAACAUCUUCAGGCAGAAGGAGUUUAAUCUUCAAUCACUUGGUAUAGGUGGUCUAAGUGCAGAGUUUGCAGAUAUAUUUCGAAGAGCCUUUGCUUCGCGUGUUUUCCCUCCCCAUGUGACAAAUAAAUUGGGGAUUAAGCAUGUGAAGGGUAUGCUGCUUUAUGGGCCUCCUGGUACUGGCAAAACACUUAUGGCUCGUCAAAUUGGAAAAAUGUUGAAUGGAAGGGAACCAAAGAUUGUUAACGGCCCUGAAGUUUUGAACAAAUACCUUGGUGAAACUGAAAAGAAUGUUAGGGAUCUAUUUGCUGAUGCUGAGAAUGAUCAAAGAGCUCGAGGGGACCAAAGUGAUCUGCAUGUCAUAAUUUUUGAUGAAAUUGAUGCUAUUUGUAAGUCAAGAGGUUCAACUAGAGAUUGUACAGGUGUUCGUGACAGUAUUGUGAACCAGCUUCUUACAAAGAUUGAUGGUGUGGAGUCUUUAAAUAAUGUCUUGCUUAUUGGAAUGACAAACAGAAAAGAUUUACUUGAUGAGGCCCUUUUAAGACCAGGCCGCUUGGAGGUUCAAAUUGAGAUAAGCCUUCCUGAUGAGAAUGGUCGCUUAUAGAUUCUUCAAAUUCAUACAAACAAGAUGAAAGAGAGUUCUUUUCUUGCUCCUGAUGUGAACCUUCAAGAGCUUGCUGCUCGUACGAAAAACUAUAGUGGUGCCGAACUUGAAGGUGUUGUAAAAAGUGCAGUAUCUUAUGCUUUGAAUAGACAACUAAGUCUUGAUGAUCUCACCAAGCCAGUGGAUGAAGAGAGUAUUAAAGUUACCAUGGAUGAUUUUUUGAAUGCACUCCACGAAAUAAUUCCUGCAUUUGGAGCCUCCACUGAUGACCUUGAGCGGUGCAGACUGAAUGGCAUGGUGGACUGUGGUGAUCAAAAUAAGCACAUUUAUCAAAGAGCUAUGCUACUUGUGGAGCAAGUUAAAGUGAGUAAAGGAAGUCCGCUUGUUACUUGUCUUCUGGAAGGCCCAAGUGGCAGUGGUAAAACCGCACUAGCAGCUACUGUUGGCAUUGACAGUGAUUUUCCAUAUGUCAAGAUAGUCUCAGCAGAAUCAAUGAUUGGUCUUCACGAAAGCACUAAGUGUGCACAGAUUGUCAAGGUAUUUGAGGAUGCAUACAAGUCACCGCUGAGCAUCAUCGUUCUUGAUGACAUUGAAAGGUUAUUGGAGUAUGUUGCCAUUGGGCCUCGUUUUUCAAAUAUAAUCUCUCAGACACUACUGGUCCUACUCAAGCGGCUUCCUCCAAAGGGGAAGAAACUUAUGGUCAUAGGGACAACAAGUGAGCAGACAGUGUUGUAAAGGUAGCGUAACAACUUUAAACGUGGAUGUGCUUGAGCAGACAGUGUUGCCUCUUCAAAAUCAGCUUCUUACCCAUCUUGAAUCAAUGAAUCCGCUUCAACACGAGUCCAUGACAUAGGUGGUGGAAUCUACUUUUAUCGUUUUGGAUCGUCUAUUAGUUAAUUAUACACCUUUUCAAGAGCGUGUGAAGGAGUUCAUUGCCUGUGCAUCAUCAUUUGCUGAUAUAGAGUAGUCCAUCAACAACAAACAUUCUUUUCAAGAGUUGAUGGAGCGGUACCAUAGUGAGAAAGUAAGGUAUAUAAGCAAAGUGGCUACUAUAAGCAACAAUAGUGUAGCUGUGUAGCAUCUAUCCAUUUUGGCUAUAUAAUUUGAUUGUUUUUUAUAUGUAAUUUGUCACUUUGUUCCAUCCUUGGUUAAAUGGAUUGGAUUUAGCUAGAUCUUAUGUAUGAUCGUAUAGCCUUUUCAUAAUCAGUAUGUUGGUUUGCGUAAUGCUUUGUAUGUGAAUUGCAUAGCUUGUACAAGGAUUUUUCUAUGUACAGCUUUUAAAUUAUGUUGAGAUUUACCGAAAUGAUACUAAUUUGAUAAAUAAAAGUCAUCUAUUUCACCUUUUCUGUUC
RNA transcript from Quercus lobata, 4140 nucleotides. It is a transcript of the gene named vesicle-fusing ATPase-like, with no coding region annotated. The transcript is spliced from 24 exons. The record is from RefSeq and is a predicted model, not a curated record. Lineage: Eukaryota; Viridiplantae; Streptophyta; Magnoliopsida; Fagales; Fagaceae.